This is a non-coding RNA of Pelobates cultripes (western spadefoot toad), 298 nucleotides long. Lineage: Eukaryota; Metazoa; Chordata; Amphibia; Anura; Pelobatidae. The record is from the annotation of a GenBank genome assembly.
CAGGGUGGCCACCCAGUAAUCAGCACAAGUUAGAAUGUGGGCAACUCGGCAGUCGUUGCGCAAGCACUUUGGUGACUCUAGAUAACCUUGGGCCAAUCGCAUGUCCCCGUGACGGCGACAACGUAUUUAGAUGUCUGCCCUAUCAACUUUCGAUGGUACUUUCUGCGCCUACCAUGGUAACCAUGGGUAACGGGGAAUUAGGGUUCGAUUCCGGAGAGGGAGCCUGAGAAACGGCUACCACAUCCAAGGAAGGUAUCAGGCGCGCAAAUUACCCACUCCCGACGCCGGGAGGUAGUGA